Thalassophryne amazonica is the source of this 979-nucleotide long non-coding RNA. RefSeq lists it as uncharacterized. The transcript is spliced from 3 exons. The record is from RefSeq and is a predicted model, not a curated record. Lineage: Eukaryota; Metazoa; Chordata; Actinopteri; Batrachoidiformes; Batrachoididae.
UCAAGGCGGUUAACAGUCAGUCUCAUUAGUGUUGUUUAACGAUGGCUCAGCAGGCUGUCAAAUCACGUCACAGUCUGAAACAAAGCUGCCAGAUUCCAAUUAGCUGUUUUUUGUUUAAAAAAAAAAAAAAAAAAAACACAGACAGCUUUGAGUGGAAGAAAUACAGACAGACAUUUGGCACCGCAGCUUCAACGCCUUCCAUUCUCAAAAGAAAUUAGAAAAGCAGAUGAUGUUUGUGGAAAAACCGUCAGAAAUCUGAAGGGAGCGAAUCAAGGUUAAACAGGUGCGUUCUGAAUAAUUUUUUUUGCAAAACAACUGGCCUGCGGACCAAAAUCAUUAUUUUCACGCAUAGGACCUGAAACAUUUUUCUUCACACAGUCCAUUAUUGUCAAAAAUAAACACUCAAUAAAGCCGAUAAGGAACCAAAGCUUUGUGCAGCAGUAUGGACCAUCAAACAUCACAGAUUGUUCAGAGUCAAGGCCAUAAGUACUUGUAUUUGGUCAGCGAACUUUUUCAUUUCACGACUGUAGAGCUACCACACUUGAGCUGAAACAAUCAGGAUGUGCUUGAAGUGCAGUUCCUCAGGUUCAAGGGGAUUAACAAUAGUAUUGCAUUAACUAUUUAAGACUUACAGCUAUUUUUGCACUCGAUUCCUCCACUCGCAGAUCAUAAGUAAUUGGACAAUCUAAAUACAACCAUUAUUGUCCACAGACAAAUCAUCGCUUUUACAGCCAGUUUUAUUGAGACAAGUAAGGUGAUGGACACAUGAACACGUCUUUGACUGAAUUUACAUCAAUCAUGACGAAAUACAAACAGUACUGUCAACAUAUCUGGAGUAGGAUGUUCUCGAUAACUGUGUGGAAAAAGAAACUGCGGCUUCCACGACAGACAAAAACUGCCCGAUGCAGUUUCUUCAAUCCCAGCCACAGACGCCUGUUAACUCCUUCAGAGUAGUGAAGCAGAUAUUUGAAAUGACUGU